UGGGGAAUAUUGGACAAUGGGCGCAAGCCUGAUCCAGCCAUGCCGCGUGGAUGAUGAAGGCCUUAGGGUUGUAAAGUCCUUUUAACGGGGAAGAUAAUGACGGUACCCGUAGAAUAAGCCCCGGCUAACUUCGUGCCAGCAGCCGCGGUAAUACGAAGGGGGCUAGCGUUGCUCGGAAUUACUGGGCGUAAAGCGCACGUAGGCGGCUUGUUAAGUCAGGGGUGAAAGCCUGGAGCUCAACUCCAGAACUGCCUUUGAUACUGACGAGCUUGAGUUCGGGAGAGGUGAGUGGAACUGCGAGUGUAGAGGUGAAAUUCGUAGAUAUUCGCAAGAACACCAGUGGCGAAGGCGGCUCACUGGCCCGAUACUGACGCUGAGGUGCGAAAGCGUGGGGAGCAAACA
RNAcentral lists this ribosomal RNA (402 nucleotides) under uncultured Rhodoplanes sp. RNAcentral's name for it is "bacterial SSU rRNA". It matches the Rfam family "Bacterial small subunit ribosomal RNA", at positions 355 to 774 of the family's 1533-position model. The record is from RNAcentral. Lineage: Bacteria; Pseudomonadati; Pseudomonadota; Alphaproteobacteria; Hyphomicrobiales; Nitrobacteraceae.